This 497-nucleotide ribosomal RNA is filed under the name uncultured bacterium. Its description in RNAcentral is "partial 16S ribosomal RNA". It matches the Rfam family "Bacterial small subunit ribosomal RNA", at positions 28 to 507 of the family's 1533-position model. The record is from RNAcentral.
GAUGAACGCUGGCGGCGUGCCUAAUACAUGCAAGUCGAACGGACGGACGAGAAGCUUGCGUCUCUGAUGUUAGCCGCGGGCGUGUGAGUAACGCGUGGAUACCCUCCCUAUAAGACUGGGAUAACUUCGGGAAACCGUAGCUAAUACCGGAUAAUCUUUUGAACCGCAUGGUUCAAAAGUGAAAUACGGUCUUGCUGUCACUUAUAGCUGGAUCCGCGCUGCAUUAGAUAGUUGGUAAGGUAACGGCUUACCACGGCAACGAGGCAUAGCCGACCUGAGAGGGGGAUAGGCCACCCGGGAAGUGAGACACGGACCAGACUCCUACGAGAGGCAGCAGUAGGGAAUCUUCCGCAAUGGGCGAAAGUCUGACGGAGCAACGCCGAGUGAGUGAUGAAGGUCUUCGGAUCGGAAAACCCUGUUAUUAGGGAAGAACAUAUGUGUAAGUAACUGUGCACAUCGUGACGGUACCUAAUCAGAAAGCCCCGGCUAACUACGUG